AGGUCGGUGAUGAUAUGAACACUGCAUAAUAUGAGUUUUGGAAACCAGAUGAUGGAAUGUGAGCUAAGAACGGACUGAGACCA
Small nucleolar RNA from Echinops telfairi (small Madagascar hedgehog), 83 nucleotides. NCBI's taxonomy places the organism in Eukaryota, Metazoa, Chordata, Mammalia, Afrosoricida, Tenrecidae. The record is from Ensembl.